UGCGUAGGCGGGCUAAUAAGUCAGUGGUGAAAUCUCUCGGCUCAACCGGGAAACUGCCAUUGAUACUGUUAGUCUUGAGUUCGGUUGAGGUAGGCGGAAUGUGUAAUGUAGCGGUGAAAUGCUUAGAUAUUACACAGAACACCAAUUGCGUAGGCAGCUUACUAGACCGACACUGACGCUGAGGCACGAAAGCGUGGGGAGCGAACAGGAUUAGAUACCCUGGUAGUCCC
Molecule: ribosomal RNA, 230 nt
Filed under: uncultured bacterium
Lineage: Bacteria
Description: partial 16S ribosomal RNA
Rfam family: Bacterial small subunit ribosomal RNA
Source: RNAcentral